RNAcentral lists this transfer RNA (71 nucleotides) under Stegodyphus mimosarum. It matches the Rfam family "tRNA". From Rfam's summary of the family: Transfer RNA (tRNA) molecules are approximately 80 nucleotides in length. The record is from Rfam by way of RNAcentral. Lineage: Eukaryota; Metazoa; Arthropoda; Arachnida; Araneae; Eresidae.
GCCUUUGUUGUGCAAUGGUAGUAUACUCGGCGUGUAUUCGAGAGGUCCAGGUUCGAGUCCCGGCGAGGGCA